RNAcentral lists this transfer RNA (76 nucleotides) under Rhodoferax sp. RNAcentral's name for it is "tRNA-Asp". It matches the Rfam family "tRNA". From Rfam's summary of the family: Transfer RNA (tRNA) molecules are approximately 80 nucleotides in length. Their secondary structure includes four short double-helical elements and three loops (D, anti-codon, and T loops). Further hydrogen bonds mediate the characteristic L-shaped molecular structure. tRNAs have two regions of fundamental functional importance: the anti-codon, which is responsible for specific mRNA codon recognition, and the 3' end, to which the tRNAs corresponding amino acid is attached (by aminoacyl-tRNA synthetases). tRNAs cope with the degeneracy of the genetic code in two manners: having more than one tRNA (with a specific anti-codon) for a particular amino acid; and 'wobble' base-pairing, i.e. permitting non-standard base-pairing at the 3rd anti-codon position. Lineage: Bacteria; Pseudomonadati; Pseudomonadota; Betaproteobacteria; Burkholderiales; Comamonadaceae. The record is from RNAcentral. RNAcentral also lists the same sequence under 1 other name.
GCAUCGUUAACUCAGCGGCCAGAGUGUUCGCCUGUCUAGCGAAAGGUCGCCGGUUCGACUCCGGCACGGUGCGCCA